This 321-nucleotide ribosomal RNA is filed under the name uncultured eukaryote. Its description in RNAcentral is "partial 18S ribosomal RNA". It matches the Rfam family "Eukaryotic small subunit ribosomal RNA", at positions 1470 to 1796 of the family's 1831-position model. The record is from RNAcentral.
CCCUUAGAUGUCCUGGGCCGCACGCGCGCUACACUGACAUGUUCAACAAGCCUCCUAGUUCGACAGGAUUUGGGAAAUCUUUGAACGCAUGUCGUGAUAGGGAUAGAUCAUUGCAAUUAUUGAUCUUGAACGAGGAACUCCUAGUAAACGCGAGUCAUCAGCUCGCAUUGAUUACGUCCCUGCCCUUUGUACACACCGCCCGUCGCACCUACCGAUUGAAUGUUUCGGUGAAGAUUCCGGAUAGGACUUUUUUGAUUUAUUUCAAUUUUGUCUUAAAAGCUAUCUAAACCUCAACAUUUAGAGGAAGGUGAAGUCGUAACA